Molecule: long non-coding RNA, 7418 nt
Filed under: Gossypium raimondii (Peruvian cotton)
Lineage: Eukaryota; Viridiplantae; Streptophyta; Magnoliopsida; Malvales; Malvaceae
Description: long non-coding RNA (GRAI_LNC010087)
Source: RNAcentral
CAAAAUCGGGACUGGGCGCGUUCAUAGGCAUCAGAAGGGAGGAUGGAAGAAGCAGAGGUGGUCCAAACCUCGUCGAUGUACUCAACGAUGAUUAGAGACUCACAGAUGGGAUUAUGACCAUGGAUGAGGACUGGGACUUUCUUAUAAACAGGGUUAGAUUUGAGAAGAAGGUCGCUUUUGGAUUCCGGCAAAUUUUCCUCAUGGUUCUCGUAGUUGACAGAUUUUAGGUGAAGUGCAAUCUUCACCCUCAGCACGAAUGGGCUUGCCCAGGUGCCCAAUACCAUCACGUUACUCUCAGCCAUAUCUUCUUUCUUCUCUGCACUAAUCUUUAUGUUUAUAUCGUGAAGUGCCGGGUCUCACACUGAUAUAUGAGACUUGUCGGAGAUAUUGCCCUAUUGGUGACGGCUAUUGGUGAGAAUUGGGGCUCACGCAAGAUGUGAACCAGAGAUUCCCUUUUUUCUUGUUUUUAACUUUCAAAAACUGACGUAUUAUCAAACGUCGAUAUACGCGAGACUUCUUAAAGAAUAAAAUAAUCAUAAAAACUUUGUGUAUAUCCGUUAUAAAAGAAUUAUUUGUUUAUUUCUUCGUCUAUCAAUUUUAACUCGAUUGAUAAAAAAAUUAUUACUAAUGCAGGAGAGAGUGGAUUGGAAUAAGUUAAAAAUAUAUUAUCCUUUUAUUUAUUUAUGGGUUAGAUAUUUAUGGGUUAGAAGGAGUUAUGAGUAAUAUUAAGUCUUCUGUAAAACUUUAAAUAUAUCAAAAUUUAUAAUAAGAUUAUUAAAUCUAAUGGUCAAUCAUUUCAACAUUUCCCUAAAUUUCAAAGGAAAAAGUUUAUUGCAUUCAAAGCUUAUUCUAUAUUUUAGGUAAAAUAUUAAGAAUAAAUGAGACGUUCGUUCUUUUAACUCGCGGCCAUACCUGUCUUUUUCCCUACAUUAUUAACAAAAUGAUAAAUUUGUAAUUCUGAUCCCUCUAUUUUUGUAAAUUAUAUAAAAAUAGCUAAAAUUCAAUUUCAAUCCCUAUACUACAUUCAGAUUUGAGAUUUAAUCUUUAUGCUUUAAUUUUUUACUUGUUUAUAAUGUCAUUAGAUAGCCUAAAUACUUUAUUCUAACUAGAAAUUCUAUCACACACCAGAGGCGAAACUAGAGGAAAAUGAAAACUUUUCUAUUUAGAUCAUUUAAAAUUUUUAAAAAUUUAAAUUGGUAAAGGUAAAAUUACAUUUUGGUACCCCUAAAAAUAUAAAAAUUUGAUUUAAUCCUUUAAAAUUUGUAAAGAUAUAGGUUAUUAAACUGGUGAAAUUACAUUUCUGCUAUCAUAAAAAUUAAAAUUUAAUUUUGGCCCCCUAUAAAAUUUUUCUAGUUUCGCCCUUAUCACACACGUAUGCAUGUGAAAACCACAUAUUUUAAAUACAUAUGUGUAUUUGAAAAUAACAUACCAUGAAUAAUGAAACUGUAACACCCCUAACUCGUAUCCAUCGUCGGAUUAGGGUUACGAGGCAUUACCGACCAAAAUACAGCUCAAAUCAGUCAUUCAUUUCUAAACAUACAAUAAGUAAUAUUAACUAACAUACAUCAAAGUCAUAUUUUACUUUCUUGUACCGAAUUAUCAAAAUACAAUUAUAACAUUACUAAACUCGAAUGUCCACAAAUCAUUUAUACUAAAUUCGAACAUAUGAAUCAUAAAGCCAAUCCAAAUCAAUCAUACUUUAAUAGUCAUGUAUCACAAAUAAAGCAUAUCUCAAAAUUCAACCAAUUUCAAUCCGAUUACCAAAUCAAAUGUUUCAUCAAGUUAACUUACGAAAAACCAAAUUGAAUUAGUUCCAUAAUUACCAAAUUCAACCCAUAUGGUCAUCAAUUUAUAACAAUCAUACAUGUGUACCACUUAACCAACUAACCAAACAUAUUUUACUAUUAUAAAACAUCAUAUCAUAAUACAUAUACAUUAUAAUUCUAUUAGCCGAACCUUAUGACUAUAUAAUAAGGCAUUUAGAUACCUAAAUAAGUAUCAAUCAUAUGUCACUUUCAUAUACUUAGCUUACAACAAUACAUGCCAUAUAACCAAGUCACAAAGUAUAUAAAUACUGAAAUUAUUAGCUGGAUAGUGUGAUGCAAUCUCCGUCGAGUUCCAACCCGAGCGAAUGUCCCAAACACUGUAAAACAUAAAAAAAAACACCAAGUAAGCUAUAAAGCUUAGUAAGCUCGUAAUAUAAUAACUCAUAUUACUAAAUAAUCACAUUACAAACAAUGGCAUCAAGUCAUAAUAUAGCUCAUUUGAUUUCACAAUUCUACCUCAUAUUCAUGCACAUGAUUAAACAAGAUUUCUACGAGUUUAUUCAUUUCAAAGCUCGUAUGCCUCUUAAACUUCUUAUCACUUCAUUCUCAUUUACAAAUACAUAAACAACAAUAUAUAGCUUUAUUUGAUCCAUUAUUCAUCACAUUUCUAUAGCCGAAAGAAUCAUGUAAAUUAUCGUUAAAUAAUUGUAAUUCUCACUCAAUGUGCCAUAUUCAUAUCAUUAAUACAAUCAUUGUUCAUACCACACAUAUCAUUCAAUUCAUACCUCAUUAUAGCCAAAUAAACACAUUUUGGCAUAAAUAUAAUUAUACACUAAUAAUUCUCAUUAAAUUACCUUCAUUUAACUCUCACAUAGGUUCUGAACGUACCUGUGUUGCUUAAUUCAAUUGAACUUUCAUUCUUGUCUUAACUUUGCGUGAUGAACCAUUCAGAAUUGUUAAAGAUACUCGAAAGUCUCGUAUAUCACAUACAAUGCUAUAUCCAGAUAUGGUCUUACAUGUUAUCACAUAUCGAUGCCAAUAGCCCAGCUAUGGUCUUACACGAAUCAUAUAUCGAUGCCAAUGUCCCAGACAUAGUCUUACACGAAAUCACAUAAAGAUGCCAAUGUCCUAGACAUGGUCUUACACGUAAUCACAUAUAUCGAUGCCAUAUCCCAUAUAUAGUCUUACACAAAGUCUCAUAUAUCGAUGCCAUAGCCCAGCUAUGGUCUUAUACGAAAUCAUGUAAUGCCAUGGUCCAACCACAGUUUUUUCCACCAAUUCGUCUUUCGUUACGAAACGAUUGUGUUCGAUCCUGCAUUUUUACUUAUUUCGAACAUUUAAUUUAAGCUCCACAAUUAAAUCGAUUAUAUGAAUACAUUCAUACUAUCAUUCAUCAAUUACAUAAAUAUACACUGAAGUUCGAUUAUACGAACUUACCUCGAUUGCUAAAACGACAGAAUGGAUCGACUAGUCCGAUACUUUAUCUUUUCUCCAAUCUAGAUCCGUAUUUCGCUUUUCUCAAUCUAAAUAUAAUCAAAAUUAGCUUAUUUAAUUAUCUCUCUAUUCAAUUUAAUCCAAAAUUUACCUUAAAGCAUAUUUGCACUUUUGCCCCAUAAUUUCACAUUUUUACAAUUUAGUCAUUAUCACAUAAAAUAACAAUUUCAUGAAAUUAAACACAAAUCCAAGCUAGCCAAAUUUUCCAUAUAUCACUAGCAGCCCAUAUUUUCAAUUUAUUUUACAUUUUAACAACUAAAUUUCCACAUUUCACAAUUUAAUCCCUAAUUGACAUUUUUAUCAAAAAUCACUUUAUAAAAGAUAAAAAUCUAACAUCAAAUAUUCAUAUUUCAUCAAAAAAAUAUCAAAGAGCUCAAGUAUUCAACAAUGAAAAUUCACAAAAUCUUUAACAGUUUUAGAAACGGAGGUACGAGUUAAUUAGAUUACGAAGCAACAAUCUCAAAAACGUAGAAAUUAUUAAAAACCGAGCAAAAAUCACUCACCAGUUUGUCUUCAAAGUUUGGCCCAAUAACAAGCUCUCCCAUGGCUGAUUUUAGGUUGACAUUUCGGUGAAGAUGGAUAGUGGAAGAAGAUGGCACAAUUUGUUUUAUUUAAUUUAACAUAUAAUGCCUUUUUACUUAUUUAACCUUUAAUAACCUUAAUAACUACACCAAAUGCCACUCCACUAACAUCCAAUAUCUCAAUAAUGGGUUAUUUAUCACAUAAGGACCUUCAAUUUAAAAUUCUAUAGCUAUUAGACACCUUUAACAUAUAGAACACAACUUUUGCACUUUACGCGAUUUAGUCCUUUUUAUCAAAUUAAGCACCCAAUUGAUAAAAUUUCUUCACGAAAUUUUUACACAAUCAUAAUAUCAUACUGUAGAUAUUAAAAUAAUAAUAAAAUAAAAUUUUUGAUUUCGGAUUUGUGGUCCCGAAACUACUGUUCCGACUAGACCCAUAAAUCGGGUUGUUACAAAAACGUAUUGUUUGAAACUAAUUAAGAAUAAUACAUGAAAUAUCUAUGGUAAUAAAAUGAAAAAAAUUAUAUUAAAUUGUGAUUUAAAUGAAGUUUAAACACAUAAAUACAUCAUAUUAAGUAUAUUAAAUGAGUACAAUUAUUUAUUAUGGUACUAUCAUCAAUCAUGAGUUGGCGUUAAGUUAACUUGUGGCACUAACUCAAUCAGCAAUAUUAAUAAUAAUAAAUUCUAUUAUAUGCGUAUGCAUGUAAAAAUCACGUAUUUUAAAUACAGAGGUAUUUUUGAAAAUAACAUAAAAUAAAUAAUGAAAUGUAUUGAAACUAAAUAAUAAUAACACAUUAAAUAUCUAUGGAAAUAAAAUAGAAAAUUUAGAUUAAAUUGUGAGUAAAAUAAAAUUUAAAAACAUAAAUGUAUCAUAUUAAAAAUACUAAAUGAGUAUAAUAACUUGUGCAUAUUAAAAUAAAAAUGUAUAAAAAAAUUAAAAUAAUGAUUUGGUUAAGUGGUAAAAUUAAUGUUUUACUAAUUCAAUUUGCAUGUGUUCAAAUCCUAUUAUAAGCAUAUUCAAAGAAUAAAACUUAUUUUAAUUAUGAAAAGACAUUUUCGUAAUUUUCCUACUGAGUUGGUGUCUGGUUGACACUUGUGAUAUCAUUCAGGGAUCUUAAUUUAACAAAGAACAUCAACAAGCUAAAUUUAACAAAAAAAAAAUUUAAUGAUAUUAACAACUAGACUUAAAUUUUUAAAUUUGAAAUAUAAAUGGACAAAAUUCUAGAAAAUAAAAGUAUAGGGACUGAAUUUCAAUGUAUGCAAAGAAUAAAAAAAAAAACUAGGAGUAUAUUGUAACAUUUAUAUUUUAAACCUAUAAUUUAAUAAAAAAUAGUUAACUCAAAAAUAAUUUAUGCUUAUUGGAAAAUAUGCUCUUUUUGACAUAAUGUUUAGAACUAUUUAUAGUCUCUCCUCCCCAACCCAAAAAUAAGAAGAUAAUACAUUUCAGCGCACUCAAACCCACAUCCUCUUACAUUAACAACAAUGUCUUUGUCAAUCGAGCUAAGACUCAAUUAGCUUGUUUGAAUGUUUCUUUUUUCUUUUCUUUUUUUCUUCUAAAUAAAAUGGUUAAUUUGAAUUUAGUCUCUUUACUAUAAUUUGAUUUUUAUAGUUUUUUAUUCUUCGAAAUAUAUCUAUACUAUUAAUAUAUUUUUUUAUUGAGUUAGUGUCACAGAUAUCUACUUGGUUAGGAAAGUAUGGAAAUAUUCUUUGAUGGUAUUUUAGUCUUUUCAUUUUAACAAAAACUAAUAAAAAUAUACAUACAAUGAGAUUUGAACUCACGUCAAUUAAAGCAAUAAAACUUUAAAUAUAUCAUUCAACCAAAGUUUUAUUUUAAUGUUUUUUAAUACAUUUAUUAAAAUAUGGACAAUUUGCUAUCUCCACUUGUGUUAUAUAUUGAUAAUGUUAUUAAUUGAGUUGGUGUCACAAGUUAACUUGACUCUAACUUAUAAUUAAUGAUAAAACCAUGAUAAAUAAUUAGUAUGCAUUUAGUAUUAUUUAUCUGAUGUAUUUGUGUUUAAAUGUCGUUUUACUCAUGAUUUAAUCUAAAUUUUUUUAUUUUAAUAUCCUGCAUAUUUCAUGGGUUAUUAUGACUAAUUAGUUUCAAAUCAUACGUUUCAUUAUUUAUUGUAAAUGCUUUUUAAACACAUAUAUGUGUUCUAUAUAAAUACGCAUGUGAUAAGAUUUCUAAUAACUAUUUAUUAUAUGUUAUUUUUAAACAUAUUUUAUUCUAAAUUUAUGGUUUUUUUACAUGCACACGUGUGUCACCUUUCUAUAUGUAGAGAAAAAUCCCAUAUUUGAAAAGGAAAAGGAAACAGUAUUCUAUAAAAUAAAAGCAGUUCACACUGUCCAAAAUGCAAAUUACAGACCACAAAAGCAUUUGCAAAUUGCAGGGUCCAACAUCAAAUCUGCCACUAGCCACCUAAACCACCGUCAACCCACUACCACAUAAUUCCGACGAAUAUCACCUUUAUCAGGUGAAGAGCUACUUUACGUCUUCUUCCUUUUUCCUCUCUAAAAAAGGGUUUUUAAUAACAAUUUAGUUUAAAAUGAGAUUUAUAAUCAAUACAAAUUAAAAAAAAGAAAAUUAAUUUUAUCAAAUAAUAUGAAAAAAGUAAUGAUGUCAUACACAUAUAUCUGUAAAAACUCACCAUUUUAUUCAUAAAAGGACUUAGAAGCAUAAAAUUGUUUUCUUUAUAAAAAUAAUUAUUAUUUUAUUUUCUAAAUGAUAAUAACAAUUCUCACCCAAGUUCCACUCAAUGACAAAAGAAGAUAAGUAACACAUACUCCAAACUUUGAUUUCAAUUGCUGGCUGCCGUAGCUUUCAAGACCCUCGCCCCAAGCUUCAACGCAAAUUCCACAAGCUUGUCGACGUCGGGUGAAACAUCCUUCACCGCCUCAUGGGCGGAGAAGCAAUCCGCCCACUGCACCAACCCGGGCGUUUUGAUUUCGGAAAUCAGCUUCAUCUCACUCAAUUUCUCGAUCACUUCAAUCCACGCCAACAAGCUACCGAACACUAUGUCCACGAACCCAAUAUUUUCCCCACCAAAGAAAGCUUUCCCUUUGCUCAAUUUCACAAAGGCUUCCUCCAACAGCGCCAUCCCUUCUGAGACUUCGGCCAUUGCUGCCCUUUUAUCUUCCUCCGUAGCACCAAACAACACUCUUCUUAAGGCAGUGGAAAACUACAUCACAUGCAAAAAAACAUAAAGAAACGUCAUGUUUAUCACGGAUGUAAUGCAAUGUUAUCAAAACUUAUCACGGAUGUAAUGCAAUGUUAUCAAAACAGUCUUUUAUUACGAACCUUAUCUUCGACAUAGGCCGCCCAAAAUCGGGACUGGGCGCGUUCAUAGGCAUCAGAAGGGAGGAUGGAAGAAGCAGAGGUGGUCCAAACCUCGUCGAUGUACUCAACGAUGAUUAGAGACUCACAGAUGGGAUUAUGACCAUGGAUGAGGACUGGGACUUUCUUAUAAACAGGGUUAGAUUUGAGAAGAAGGUCGCUUUUGGAUUCCGGCAAAUUUUCCUCAUGGUUCUCGUAGUUGACAGAUUUGAGGUGAAGAGCAAUCUUCACCCUCAGCACGAAUGGGCUUGCCCAGGUGCCCAAUACCAUCACGUUACUCUCAGCCAUAUCUUCUUUCUUAUC